RNAcentral lists this ribosomal RNA (119 nucleotides) under Triticum aestivum (bread wheat). The record is from RNAcentral. Lineage: Eukaryota; Viridiplantae; Streptophyta; Magnoliopsida; Poales; Poaceae.
GGAUGCGAUCAUACUAGCACUAAAGAACCGGAUCCCAUCAGAACUCCGAAGUUAAGCAUGUUUGGGCGAGAGUAGUACUAGGAUGGGUGACCUCCUGGGAAGUCCUCAUGUUGCAUUCC